This 89-nucleotide small nuclear RNA is filed under the name Poecilia reticulata (guppy). Lineage: Eukaryota; Metazoa; Chordata; Actinopteri; Cyprinodontiformes; Poeciliidae. The record is from RNAcentral.
GUCCUAGUUCUCUAGGACAUAUACUAAAAUUGGAACGAUACAGAGAAGAUUAGCAUGGCCCCUGCGCAAAAGAAGGGAGCCAAUCUUCU